RNAcentral lists this ribosomal RNA (397 nucleotides) under uncultured soil bacterium. RNAcentral's name for it is "bacterial SSU rRNA". It matches the Rfam family "Bacterial small subunit ribosomal RNA", at positions 26 to 419 of the family's 1533-position model. The record is from RNAcentral.
AGAUUGAACGCUGGCGGCAUGCCUUACACAUGCAAGUCGAACGCGAAAGCGGAGCAAUCCGCAAGUAGAGUGGCGAACGGGUGAGUAAUACAUCGGAACAUUUCCAGUAGCGGGGGAUAACCUGUCGAAAGAUAGGCUAAUACCGCAUACGACCUACGGGUGAAAGCGGAGGACUCUUGGGUAACUGAGGGCUUCGCACUAUUGGAGUGGCCGAUGUCGGAUUAGCUAGUUGGUGGGGUAAAGCCCACCAAGGCUACGAUCCGUAGCUGGUCUGAGAGGACGAUCAGCCACACUGGAACUGAGACACGGUCCAGACUCCUACGGGAGCAGCAGUGGGGAAUUUGGACAAUGGGCGCAAGCCUGAUCCAGCCAUGCCGCGUGAGUGAAGAAGGUCCUU